This 627-nucleotide ribosomal RNA is filed under the name Platerodrilini sp. UPOL 001372. RNAcentral describes it as "eukaryotic LSU rRNA". It matches the Rfam family "Eukaryotic large subunit ribosomal RNA", at positions 670 to 1259 of the family's 3401-position model. RNAcentral also lists the same sequence under 1 other name. The record is from RNAcentral. Lineage: Eukaryota; Metazoa; Arthropoda; Insecta; Coleoptera; Lycidae.
GGAGUCUAGCAUGUGCGCGAGUCAUUGGGACUAGCGAAACCUAAAGGCGAAAUGAAAGUGAAAGUCGGCCUCGCGCCGACCUAGGGAGGAUGGGUCGCGCUACGGCGCGACCCCGCACUCCCGGGGCGUCUCAUUCUCAUUGCGAGAAGAGGCGCACCAAGAGCGUACACGCUGGGACCCGAAAGAUGGUGAACUAUGCCUGGUCAGGACGAAGUCAGGGGAAACCCUGAUGGAGGUCCGAAGCGAUUCUGACGUGCAAAUCGAUCGUCGGAACUGGGUAUAGGGGCGAAAGACUAAUCGAACCAUCUAGUAGCUGGUUCCCUCCGAAGUUUCCCUCAGGAUAGCUGGCGCUCGCUUUUGCGAGUCUCAUCUGGUAAAGCGAAUGAUUAGAGGCAUUGGGGUCGAAACGGCCUCAACCUAUUCUCAAACUUUAAAUGGGUGAGAUCUCCGGCUUGCUUAAAACGUGAAGCCGCGAGAUCGGAUCAGAGUGCCAAGUGGGCCAUUUUUGGUAAGCAGAACUGGCGCUGUGGGAUGAACCAAACGCAGAGUUAAAGCUCCAAAAUCAACGCUUAUGGGAUACCAUGAAAGGCGUUGGUAACUUAAGACAGCAGGACGGUGGCCAUGGAA